AAAGCAGGCCUAUCUUAUCGACUUGUAUUUAGUGCAAGUAGGAAAGUCUGGACACCAUAGAGUAGCAUAGCGGAUAACAUCCGUCCGAUGUAAAUCGAGGACAAGUGCAACAGAAAGUAUGUACAGGUAAUGCUGUAGUGAAACCAGGUAAACUCUAUGCGGUGCAAUGCCAUGUAUAUUAGAACUUGAGUGUAACUCGCACGAUUCUAAAGGGUAGGCAGAUUGAUUUUACGAGUAAUUGUAAAACUAGAUAAAUGAUAAGAGCCUCAUUUUUUUGAGGAACAGAAUCCAGCUUACUGGUCUGCUUUUUUU
Molecule: RNase P RNA, 312 nt
Filed under: Tenacibaculum pelagium
Lineage: Bacteria; Pseudomonadati; Bacteroidota; Flavobacteriia; Flavobacteriales; Flavobacteriaceae
Description: Tenacibaculum sp. S7007 RNase P RNA component class A
Rfam family: Bacterial RNase P class A
About the family: Ribonuclease P (RNase P) is a ubiquitous endoribonuclease, found in archaea, bacteria and eukarya as well as chloroplasts and mitochondria. Its best characterised activity is the generation of mature 5'-ends of tRNAs by cleaving the 5'-leader elements of precursor-tRNAs. Cellular RNase Ps are ribonucleoproteins.
Source: RNAcentral